AAGGAAGGCAGUUGGGCUGAACUGCCCCUCAGUACAGCCUCACCCAGUCCCAAAGCACUGUACUCUAAUGCUAUAUUUUGUUAACAGUUAACAUGCUAAUUUUAUAUAUAGGAUGAGUCCAUUUUGACAGCCGGAAAAAAAAUUCCCAUUUCAUUUAAUAUUAAACCCUAAUCUUUAUAGUUCCAUUAGAAGAUUGUAAGGUGGCUACCGACUUCAGAGGUUUUCAAGACUGGCAUGACCACUCUAGCCUAUCAGACUGCCUUUUCAAUUAUUGGGGAACUCUCCUGGUCUACAUCAAAACACCUUUAGAAACUAGUUGUUUUCCCACAUUCCACACAACUCUGCUUAGAUUUGCAGAAUUCCAGAUUCAUCUGGUAAGAAUGUUCCAGGAGGAGCAGUUGUACAUGGUGAUCAUUUGUUGCUGAAUUGCACUUAUUAGUAUAGUGCAGACUUAAGGCCAUCUGUAUUGAAUAUAUAUAUAUAUAUAUAUAUAUAUAUAUAUAUAUAUAUAUAUACACACAUAUAUACACACAUAUAUACACACACACACAUACACACAUACAUACAACUUCUUAGUUCACAUUCUACCUCCGUAGAACUUGUUGCUCUUGUCACUUACAAUGUUCAUUUCACAGGAAUAAAACUGACCUGUGGGCAUGAAAGCAAUUAUCCAGUCAUGCUAUGUUAAUAGAUAGCACAUUAUCCGACAAAUAAACAAGAUUAAGAUGGGACCUUUUAACCAGCCAUUUCUAUGGCUGUAGGCAUCUGGAAUGGUAGAAAGCUACUAACAAGAGAUGGAAGGGGGGAAAUUAAAAGCUUUCUUGUGAAAACAGCAAAUACCCUUUUAUACAACCAAUAUAUUAAAUCUUACAAUAAAUAAAUGAACAUUAGAAAAUU
Long non-coding RNA from Pseudophryne corroboree (corroboree frog), 897 nucleotides. RefSeq lists it as uncharacterized. The record is from RefSeq and is a predicted model, not a curated record. NCBI's taxonomy places the organism in Eukaryota, Metazoa, Chordata, Amphibia, Anura, Myobatrachidae. The transcript has 3 exons.